CAUAUUUUCCAAGUUAGAAAACUGAAAACUAAAAAUUGUGAAAACAUCUACCCGACCGAGAAUUAUUUUACCAGUUUAAUAUUUAAAGAAACAAGUUGUACCAAGUAUAUUGACAAGAUUUUCUAAAAAAAUAGCAAGAGUAAAUCCUGAGAUUGGAAUAGAGCUUCCAAGAUUUGUUAAUUCAAUGGGAUAUAACUCUGUAAAAUAUGCAGAUUUUAAUGCAGUUGAUAUUCAAAUCAUUAUUCUUUGACUUCCUUUUAGUUUUCCAUCUUUAUAUAUUAAUUUUACAAACUUAGGUGUUGAUGUUAUACUAUUGUGAACAUGUAGUAAGAAAUCAAAACAAUAUUUAGUAAAUGUUUAUGUUGACAGAAAUGGAUUUAUAAAAUAUAUAAUAAUGUAUCCAUUUUAAUUCCUUUUUAGGUAACCUUUCUGUGACAUGAUUUUCAUGGUGUUGGAUUAUAAAACUUUGGGGUCUAAUACAUCUAAAAGGAAGGUUAACAUCACAGCUUGUCCGUAAGGAUUGAGGUUGGGAAUGGCCAUUGGAGCUGACUUUUUUGGUUACUUUAACUGUGGCUGCAUGAAAAUGAUUGGGUGACUGUACCAGUAAAGAAUGUAAUUUAGACAAUUUUUGUGUAUGUUUGAGAAAAUGUUUAUAAUUUUUUACAAAAAAACAAAUAGUGUAAAGAUUCUCCAUUUUCAACAAGAUUGUAAGUUAUAGAUAACUUAUUUUGAAUUUUAAAAUCCUCUUUUUUUUACCAUUAAAACCAAAGGAUAUAUUCAGGUAGCUCUACUCAUGUCCAUUCUUGACAAUUUUUUUGUCAUGCAUAUUGAUACUGAAUUGGUUUUUGGUAUGUAUAGUUUUGUUUUGAGUUCAUAGUUCAGAUUCAAUCAUGUAUUCAUUAUUUUUUUUCCCCUGUGGCUAGAUUUAAUUGGUACUUUGAAAAUGAAUUGAAAUGGACCAAUUUUAUUUGAAGACCUACUCUUUUAGAUAUAUUAAUAAUGGUCCGUGUCUAGUCAAAACACUUCCAGAAGUUAAGGAUGGAGAAUCUUAAAAAAAAAAGAAAAAAUGAAAUGUAUAUUUUGGCUUUCACCGUUGUUAAAUAUAUAUCUUUUCCGACUUUUUUCCUUUUUUUAUGCCCCUGCCAUAGGGAAAGGACGUCCUUCUGUCCUUUUGUUGUUCCUUUUGUCCCAUUUUUGUUUCUGCACUAAAUUUUAAGAGGUAUGCCCCUUUAUCAGUUGGAAAGUUGCAAAUUUGGGCAGUGAGUCACUUACUUUUCUAGAGUUAUGCUCCUUUUUCAAUUUUUAAAAUUGCAAAGCUUGAGCAAGGGCAUUGUGUCCUCAGACACAUUCUUUUAUUUUUUAGCUGAGUUUAAUAUAAUUUAUAUUUUUAUCAAUUGUUUUGUUCUUAAUAAUUAUACAUUUUUUUAUACUGUCUAAAGUAUACUUCCUGAGACGGUCUUUAGAGCAUUAGGUUUUGGACUCAGGUUUCCAACAUUUUCCCACUACAAAUUCAGUUUUUAAAGAAGUUUGACCAAGUUCACUCGUUUUAGUUGGUUGUCAUGGUUGUUCCUGGCAGGGAGAUUGUUGAUGAUAGAGAUUUUGUCAUUAUUUAGUAUUUAACUUGAAAUACAGCAUAGAAGCAUUUCAUCAAUUAUAAUUUUUAUGAUUAUCUUUUAUGUAUAUAUGCUUACAAUUUGUAUACAUGGAUAUUGUUUUAAAAAUCAUUAAAAUCUGGUGUCCAGAUGAGCUGUCUGGGUUAUCAGGAACAUGAA
Mytilus californianus (California mussel) is the source of this 1772-nucleotide long non-coding RNA. RefSeq lists it as uncharacterized. The record is from RefSeq and is a predicted model, not a curated record. NCBI's taxonomy places the organism in Eukaryota, Metazoa, Mollusca, Bivalvia, Mytilida, Mytilidae. The transcript is spliced from 3 exons.